CCUACGGGUGGCAGCAGUGAGGAAUAUUGGUCAAUGGGCGGAAGCCUGAACCAGCCAAGUAGCGUGCAGGAUGACGGCCCUACGGGUUGUAAACUGCUUUUAUACGGGAAUAACGCGCCUUACGUGUAGGGCUUUGCAUGUACCGUAUGAAUAAGGACCGGCUAAUUCCGUGCCAGCAGCCGCGGUAAUACGGAAGGUCCGGGCGUUAUCCGGAUUUAUUGGGUUUAAAGGGUGCGUAGGCGGAAUGCCAAGUCAGCGGUAAAAUCGCGGGGCUCAACCUCGCUCCGCCGUUGAAACUGGCGUUCUUGAGUGGGCGAGAAGUAUGCGGAAUGCGUGGUGUAGCGGUGAAAUGCAUAGAUAUCACGCAGAACUCCGAUUGCGAAGGCAGCAUACCGGCGCCCAACUGACGCUGAAGCACGAAAGCGUGGGUAUCGAACAGGAUUAGAUACCCUUGUAGUC
RNAcentral lists this ribosomal RNA (459 nucleotides) under uncultured bacterium. RNAcentral describes it as "partial 16S ribosomal RNA". It matches the Rfam family "Bacterial small subunit ribosomal RNA", at positions 338 to 795 of the family's 1533-position model. The record is from RNAcentral.